UAAGGAAUAUUGCUCAAUGGGAGAAAUCCUGAAGCAGCAACGCCGCGUGGAGGAUGAAGGGUCUAUGACUUGUAAACUCCUGUAAAGAAGGAAAAAAUUCCCAUUAGAUGGGAGAUGAUGGUACUUCUGGAGUAAUCCCCGGCUAACUACGUGCCAGCAGCCGCGGUAGUACGUAGGGGGCAAGCGUUGUCCGGAUUUACUGGGUGUAAAGGGUGAUCAGGCGGAUUUGUAAGUCAGAGGUGAAAUCUUACAGCUUAACUGUGAAACUGCCUUUGAUACUGCAAGCCUAGAGUAUGGAAGAGAGUGAUGGAAUAUCUGGUGUAGCAGUGAAAUGCGUAGAUAUCAGAUAGAACACCAAUGGCGAAGGCAGUCAC
Molecule: ribosomal RNA, 374 nt
Filed under: uncultured bacterium
Lineage: Bacteria
Description: bacterial SSU rRNA
Rfam family: Bacterial small subunit ribosomal RNA
Source: RNAcentral